RNAcentral lists this ribosomal RNA (420 nucleotides) under uncultured bacterium. Its description in RNAcentral is "bacterial SSU rRNA". It matches the Rfam family "Bacterial small subunit ribosomal RNA", at positions 362 to 774 of the family's 1533-position model. The record is from RNAcentral.
UAUUGGACAAUGGGGGCAACCCUGAUCCAGCCAUGCCGCGUGCGUGAAAAAGGCCUUCUGGCUGUAAAGCACUUUAAGCAGUGAAGAAGACUCUAUGGUUACUACCCAUAGACGAUGACAUUAGCUGCAGAAUAAGCACCGGCUAACUCUGUGCCAGCAGCCGCGGUAAUACAGAGGGUGCAAGCGUUAAUCGGAAUUACUGGGCGUAAAGCGAGCGUAGGUGGCUUAAUGAGUCAGAUGUGAAAUCCCCGGGCUUAACCUGGGAACUGCAGCUGAUACUGUUGGGCUAGAGUAGGUGAGAGGGAGGUAGAAUUUCAGGUGUAGCGGUGAAAUGCGUAGAGAUCUGAAGGAAUACCGAUGGCGAAGGCAGCCUCCUGGCAUCAUACUGACACUGAGGUUCGAAAGCGUGGGUAGCAAACA